GUUAAAGAUGUUUGUGUCUGCCGGUCCAGACUAGUCAAGCGAUCGCAUACCAACGUUUCGCAAAAGUAUUUACGCCACACCAAUUUCACGGGCCCUGAUGCAACGUUCCACAAACAUUAAUAAUAAGCUACAUGGUGACACGUCUGUCAGUGGCCAACGACAACGGAACAGCAUUCAUAACCCUACAGCCGCAUUGCUACGGAGGUGAAGUGCAACACCGGUAAUCCGGUCGGACCCACUGUAUGAUGCUCGCCCAUGUACCAGGGCUUUGUACGAGGAUCACAGAGCGCAAAAGAUGGUUUUCAUGUGAAGUCUCUGUUACAGAGAAAGCACCUGCAAGCAAUACAAAAUAGUCUUCGGGCUGGGUGGGGUUGCGCUACCCUGAAGUGACAGGCCUACAGACCAACCGCUUCAGCGCAGCACCCGGGGCGUAUAUAGCUACGCAAAACCCGAAGCAGUAUUAUCGCUUGCUGCGACAGAAGAACCAGGCAACUCCGUGCAUCGUGCAAUGCACUAGUAGCUAUUAGGAUAAAUUGGGUACGUAAUACUCAGAACAAUAGGCGCGCCUGUUUUUGCCGUUUUCUUUGCAGAAUUACCAGCACACAUGGCGUUGGAAUUGUGCGUCCAUUUGAAUUUA
This 637-nucleotide long non-coding RNA is filed under the name Volvox carteri. RNAcentral's name for it is "long non-coding RNA (VCAR_LNC000612)". The record is from RNAcentral. Lineage: Eukaryota; Viridiplantae; Chlorophyta; Chlorophyceae; Chlamydomonadales; Volvocaceae.